CAAGCCGUUUUCCGGGAAUUAUUGGGCGUAAAGCGUCCGCAGGCGGCCCUUCAAGUCUGCUGUUAAAACGUGGAGCUUAACUCCAUCAUGGCAGUGGAAACUGUUGGGCUUGAGUGUGGUAGGGGCAGAGGGAAUUCCCGGUGUAGCGGUGAAAUGCGUAGAUAUCGGGAAGAACACCAGUGGCGAAGGCGCUCUGCUGGGCCAUAACUGACGCUCAUGGACGAAAGCCAGGGGAGCGAAAGGGAUUAGAUACCCCUGUAGUCCUGGCCGUAAACGAUGAACACUAGGUGUCGGGGGAAUCGACCCCCUCGGUGUCGUAGCCAACGCGUUAAGUGUUCCGCCUGGGGAGUACGCACGCAAGUGUGAAACUCAAAGGAAUUGACGGGGGCCCGCACAAGCGGUGGAGUAUGUGGUUUAAUUCGAUGCAACGCGAAGAACCUUACCAGGGUUUGACAUCCUGCGAACCUCUUGGAAACGAGAGGGUGCCUUCGGGAACGCAGUGACAGGUGGUGCAUGGCUGUCGUCAGCUCGUGUCGUGAGAUGUUGGGUUAAGUCCCGCAACGAGCGCAACCCACGUCUUUAGUUGCCAGCAUUUAGUUGGGCACUCUAGAGAGACCGCCGGUGAUAAACCGGAGGAAGGUGUGGAUGACGUCAAGUCAUCAUGCCCCUUACAUCCUGGGCUACACACGUACUACAAUGCUACGGACAAAGAGCAGCAAGUUCGCGAGGACAAGCAAAUCUCAUAAACCGUGGCUCAGUUCAGAUCGUAGGCUGCAACUCGCCUACGUGAAGGAGGAAUCGCUAGUAAUCGCAGGUCAGCAUACUGCGGUGAAUACGUUCCCGGGCCUUGUACACACCGCCCGUCACACCAUGGAAGUUGGCCACGCCCGAAGCCGUUACUCCAACCCUUGUGGAGGAGGACGUCGAAGGUGGGGCUGAUGACUGGGGUGAAGUCGUAACAAGGUAGCCGUA
Molecule: ribosomal RNA, 972 nt
Filed under: uncultured bacterium
Lineage: Bacteria
Description: bacterial SSU rRNA
Rfam family: Bacterial small subunit ribosomal RNA
Source: RNAcentral